GCCUACGGCCAUACCACCCUGAGAACGCCCGAUCUCGUCUGAUCUCGGAAGCUAAGCAGGGUCGGGCCCGGGUAGUACUUGGAUGGGAGACCCGGCCUGGGAAUACCGGGUGCUGUAGGGC
This 121-nucleotide ribosomal RNA is filed under the name Aquila chrysaetos chrysaetos. The record is from RNAcentral. Lineage: Eukaryota; Metazoa; Chordata; Aves; Accipitriformes; Accipitridae.